RNAcentral lists this unclassified non-coding RNA (350 nucleotides) under soil metagenome. RNAcentral's name for it is "partial contains 5.8S ribosomal RNA, internal transcribed spacer 2, and large subunit ribosomal RNA". The stretch from base 1 to 120 matches the Rfam family "5.8S ribosomal RNA", at positions 35 to 154 of the family's 154-position model. The record is from RNAcentral.
GAUGAAGAACGUAGCGAAAUGCGAUAAGUAGUGUGAAUUGCAGAAUUCCGUGAAUCAUCGAAUCUUUGAACGCACAUUGCGCCUCCUGGUAAUCCGUGAGGCAUGCCUGUCCGAGCGUCAGUAAAAAGCAACUCGGCCGCGGCUGGCGGUUGGUGAUGGAGGAAGAGCACGUCUCGUUGUCGGUCUCCCCUCCCAAAAUCAACGGCGGAAUGUCACUGGCACUCGGUGUUGUAGUAUUAUUCGCCGAUCACCCAUUGUUGUUCCUGCCGCCCAAACCCCCACAAUUCUCUUGAUUGACCUCGGAUCAGGUAGGGAUACCCGCUGAACUUAAGCAUACAAUAAGCGGAGGA